This 253-nucleotide ribosomal RNA is filed under the name uncultured bacterium. Its description in RNAcentral is "partial 16S ribosomal RNA". It matches the Rfam family "Bacterial small subunit ribosomal RNA", at positions 524 to 776 of the family's 1533-position model. The record is from RNAcentral.
UACGUAGGGGGCUAGCGUUGUCCGGAAUCAUUGGGCGUAAAGCGCGUGUAGGCGGUCCGGUCAGUCCGCUGUGAAAGUCGGGGGCUCAACCCUCGAAUGCCGGUGGAUACUGUCGGGCUAGAGUACGGAAGAGGCGAGUGGAAUUCCUGGUGUAGCGGUGAAAUGCGCAGAUAUCAGGAAGAACACCGACGGCGAAGGCAGCUCGCUGGGACGGUACUGACGCUGAGGCGCGAAAGCGUGGGGAGCGAACAGG